GCGGGUAUAGCUCAGCUGGUAGAGCGCGACCUUGCCAAGGUCGAGGUCACCGGUUCGAACCCGGUUACCCGCUCCA
Molecule: transfer RNA, 76 nt
Filed under: Pseudomonadota bacterium
Lineage: Bacteria; Pseudomonadati; Pseudomonadota
Also listed under: 2 other names
Description: tRNA-Gly
Rfam family: tRNA
About the family: Transfer RNA (tRNA) molecules are approximately 80 nucleotides in length. Their secondary structure includes four short double-helical elements and three loops (D, anti-codon, and T loops).
Source: RNAcentral